GUAUAGAAUAGAAUCCGAUUGAAAUUGAUUCGACAAUCGAUGAAUGUAAAAAGAAAGAAUUGAAUGAAAACGGAUGGAUAGGAGUAGUGGCAGUAGUGUAAAAGGUGACAGGCAAACGGAAUAAAAGAUGAAAUGAAAUGGAUCGUGUAGAGUUUGCUACUUUUUUUUCUCUGUUUUGGAUUUCUCAUAUUAUUGCAAAUUGUGGUGACUUUCAGAUA
Non-coding RNA from Caenorhabditis elegans, 218 nucleotides. The record is from Ensembl. NCBI's taxonomy places the organism in Eukaryota, Metazoa, Nematoda, Chromadorea, Rhabditida, Rhabditidae.